UACGUAGGGUGCAAGCGUUAAUCGGAAUUACUGGGCGUAAAGCGUGCGCAGGCGGUUUUGUAAGUCUGUCGUGAAAGCCCCCGGCUCAACUGGGGAGGGUCAUUCGAUACUGAUCGACUCGAAGGCAGGAGAGGGUAGUGGAAUUCCCGGUGUAGUGGUGAAAUGCGUAGAUAUCGGGAAGAACACCCGUGGCUAAGGCGGCUCUCUAGUACGGUACUGACGCUGAGGUUCGAAAGCUCGGGGAGCAAACAGGG
RNAcentral lists this ribosomal RNA (254 nucleotides) under uncultured bacterium. Its description in RNAcentral is "partial 16S ribosomal RNA". It matches the Rfam family "Bacterial small subunit ribosomal RNA", at positions 524 to 777 of the family's 1533-position model. The record is from RNAcentral.